GUUCUGUGUGAGUAUUUUGUGGGAACUGUGACUUUUCAGUGAGUACUGUGUACUGUAUAAGUACUAUGUGUGUAAUAUGUGAGUAUCGUGUAAGCACUGCGUGAGUAUUGUGUGAGUAUUGUGUGAGUACUGUGUGAGUAUUGUGUGAGUUUUGUGUGAGUAUAGCUUGUGUUGUUUUGUCUGGCCAGAUGCUAAAAGAACAGAUGAUGUAAGGAGCUCAGUUUCCUGUUUGGUGUUUUGUGGGUGUUUAAAUGUUUCAGACGUAAGUAUGAGUAAGGUCAAAAGGAAGAAUCUGAGAUUCAGACUGAAGAGAGACGACAGAACGUCUGCUUUUUAAACGCUUUAGGAACUUCUGAAUUAAGCAACUCGUCUUUUUACAACCCUGAGAAAAACUCAUCAACUCAUCUCAAAGAAAACUCCAAUACAGAGAACCAGCAGACCACGUCCAGACCACGUCCUCACAACGUCCUCACAGCGUCUACAGAACGUCUACAGAACGUCCUCACAGCGUCUACAGAACGUCUUUUCAGAACUUCUUCAGAACAUCUUAACUGCUACAGAGUCUCCACAUCACUCCACUGAGUUUCCUUCAGAAGAACAUCUGAACAGAGAUGGCGUCUCCUAGAAGGACGGAGGACGUCUACCAGACCCUCCACCAUCCUCCAGCAGUGAGGAACCUCCACAAAGAACCCGGAUCAGAGAGGAGCAGCAAGCUGAUGAUGAUGCUGAUGAUCUUUAACUCUCUGUUAUUGAUCGCUGUAUUGAUCCUGAUCGGACUUUUUUUCAGGGCCAGUAUUGGAGGAGAAUAAAGGGGCGUGGCUUCUUCAUGACAAUUCUUUCUAUUUACUCUGGGAGGCGAAAGGAGACUGUACUAAAGCAGCGAACUACUGUAGCGCCAAAGCAUCCAACAUCAGACUCGCUGUACUCACACCUAAACUGAGGGUAAUUUAUCACCUGAGUAUUAAGUGAUCAAAUUCAGAAUAUAGAUGUUAUGUAUCACCAUUAGCAUGAAUCCCUAAAAAAUACCUAACCACACCCUAUAAACCACCCAACAAUAUACUAAUAGCCACAUAGCAACGGCCUAGAAAUGACAUAUACAGUACACAUAUUAACAGUUAUUUAGCAACAGCCUAUAAACCAGUUAAUGCCUAGCAAUACCAUGUUAACCACCUAGCAAUACCCUAUUAACAGUUGACGGUGUGUGUGUGCAGGACUGGAUAAUUACUCAGGCUAAAGGAAGAAGGCUCUUGGUUGCAGAGGUGAGUUUA
This 1268-nucleotide long non-coding RNA is filed under the name Astyanax mexicanus (Mexican tetra). RNAcentral's name for it is "lncRNA (ENSAMXG00005001353.1)". The record is from RNAcentral. Lineage: Eukaryota; Metazoa; Chordata; Actinopteri; Characiformes; Acestrorhamphidae.